GAUGAACGCUGGCGGCGUGCCUAAUACAUGCAAGUCGAGCGAACGGACGAGAAGCUUGCUUCUCUGUUGUUAGCGGCGGACGGGUGAGUAACACGUGAAUAACCUACCUCUAAGACUUGGAUAACUGCGGGAAACCGUAGCUAAUACCAGAUAAUAUUUUGAACCGCAUGGUUCAAGAGUGAAAGACGGUCUUUCUGUCACUUAUAGGUCUAUCCGCGCUGCGUUGGCUAGUUGGUAAGGUAACGCCUUACCAAGGCAACGAUGGAUAGCCGACCUCAGCGGGUGAUAGGCCACCCGGGAGCGGAGACAGCGACACGACUACUACGGGAGGCAGCAGUAGGGAAUCUUCCGCAAUGGGCGAGAGUAUGACGGAGCAACGGCGAGUGAGUGACGACGAUCCUCGGAGCGUAAAAACCUGUUAUGAGGGAAGAACAUAUGUCUAAGUAAAUGAGCAGAUCGUGACGGUACCUAAACAGGAAGCAACGGCUAACUACGUG
RNAcentral lists this ribosomal RNA (497 nucleotides) under uncultured bacterium. Its description in RNAcentral is "partial 16S ribosomal RNA". It matches the Rfam family "Bacterial small subunit ribosomal RNA", at positions 28 to 507 of the family's 1533-position model. The record is from RNAcentral.